Molecule: microRNA, 21 nt
Filed under: Tribolium castaneum (red flour beetle)
Lineage: Eukaryota; Metazoa; Arthropoda; Insecta; Coleoptera; Tenebrionidae
Description: tca-miR-11615-5p
Source: miRBase by way of RNAcentral
CGUCCUUUUCGGACUCGGACU